Leopardus geoffroyi (Geoffroy's cat) is the source of this 2538-nucleotide long non-coding RNA. RefSeq lists it as uncharacterized. The transcript has 3 exons. The record is from RefSeq and is a predicted model, not a curated record. NCBI's taxonomy places the organism in Eukaryota, Metazoa, Chordata, Mammalia, Carnivora, Felidae.
AGCACCAACAUAAGUAACUUAUGUUAGCGAUCUAUAAGGAAGCCUUUAUUCUCCACGCUCAUAAAAUUGUAAACAGACACAAAAGUGCACAGCAUCCAUAAAACACCACGGCGGUAGGAGGAUGCUGAGCUCCUGAGACGACUCAGAGGAUGGGGCCGGACGUCAGGCCCGGCUGCACACCUCUCGGGCGAUGCGGAAAGCGCGAACUGCCAGAGGAGAAGCCGAAGUUGCUCGCUCUGGGGCAACCAUGUCAUGAGACAGCCCAGUGGAGAAGUCUACAUCGUGGGGAACUCCCUCCAGGUAGCCUCGAGCCAACAACCAGCCAGGAAUUGAGCCCUCAUUCCAUCAGCUCCUACCAACAGCCAGGGAGCGAGCCGACAUUGCAGCUGAGCCGUGCGUCCCCCUCGGGUGAGUCCUCAGAUGAAACCACAGCCCUGGCAACAGCUCGGCUCAGCCACACCUGGGUCCCUGACUCACAGAAACAGUGAGAUCAUAAAUGUUUGUUGUGCUCAGUUGCCAAAUCGGGGGGUCGUUUAUUCGGCAGUAAUAACUGACUAAUACACGUUAGGUGGAACCACGUGAAAUUGUGGCUUAGUGAGUUCAAAAAAUAGUUAAAUACUAACAGUUUUCUAUAGGUCAAACUAAAUGCUGUAUUCUACCCAUUGCAUGUAACAUCUUGCAAACUGCAAACGUGCGAUUGAAACUCACUCCAAAAAAAUGUGGAAACGGGCCCUGAGGGGCUAAGUGAUUUCCCAGAAGUUACAGUCUGCAUGCGUUGGAGUCAGGACGCAAACCCACGACAUCAAGACCCAUCCUCCUAAGUGUGGCGUGCCCCCUGUGUGCCAGGAAUCGUGGUCGGCACCAGGGGACAAAUGAAAGGGCCACCGCCAUUGCCAUCAAGAAGACAGAAGGGCUCCCCACCAGGCUUUAAACAAAGAGAAAGCCGGAACCACUGGAGCAGAGUUGAUCUGGGGAUCCCCGCAACACCCCCACGGACCAAAGGGUAAGCAUGAAACACACAGACACCUGAAUGUAAUUAUCUUGAAGCGAUCAGACCUCUGGUAUUUCUUCAAGGAGGCUGAUCCUGCCUCGAUCCCUCCGGUCUAUCAGUCACUCUCUCACAAUUAUUUGCCUUUUCUAAUCAGCAGGCAGGCUUCUGAAGCCCGUUCUUGAACACAUUUAUCAUCUCCAAUACUAUGUGCAGGGAAUCAAUUUUAUUUUCCCUUGCUGAGCCGACCAGCAUCUCGUUUGUAAUUAGAGAAGUACGCGUGAGGAAAGGAUUUGUUGUUGCUAAAUUAGGUCAAAUGUGCUCUUCCUCGGAGUGUCUGGCAUGUUUGCGAUGUGCCCUGCGUUGCUGGCUGUGGGCGGGCUCAGGCUGCGUCACCUUCCUCCCCUAAAUCAAUAGCCGUCAUUAUUUUUCCCCUCGAAGUCACUUCCGGAAUUGUCUCCACGGCCCCCAGGCUGUCCGAGGGAUCCACUGAUGGAGGGAGAUUGUUCCCAGUCCACUAGGGCUAGAUCUGACAUUGAUCUUGCCAAAUCCUAGUAGAAACUCUGCUACUGGGAGCAGUGCCACUUGUGAUGCCCCACCUGUGUCCAAGUGGUCACUUCCUUGGGGACCACGGGGGCUCUUCUAAUCACAGUUGGGAAGCAGAGAGGAAGUUUCAUCGCCUUGAACCCUUGGUGGCAUGAGAACUGUGCUUUGCCUUGAGAGGAACUUUCAAGAACUGCUCUGUUGGGGGGAGGGGUUGGCCCACAAUGUGACCCAAUCUGGGAUCUCACUGCCCUCUUUCUCACCCUCUUACUUCCCCAUACAGAGUAGACAGCUGGGCUCGGGAACCACACCUCUCAUGGGCUCUUUAUCUGGGGAGUUUGCCAGAAAGAGAAAAUGGGAAACACGUCCUCAGACAUCACAAGAGAGGAUGAUCCAGCAGCAGCCCCCCCCCCCCCCGCCAACCCCGUUUUCACAUUAAAGGCAUACCUGACAGCUUGCCCCACGGAGAAACCUCAUAAAAAUUAAGAUAUUCUAGAUUUUCUUAGGAAAAUGAUAUAUUGAAGAACGACUCCCCGAGCUGAUAAUGGUGGUGCAUUUGAAAAAUAGACCAGAGCACCGUGUUUAAAAGCCUAAAGUCAUAAAAGGUAUUAUGAAUGGAUGGAUUGGGAACCUCUACAAGCAGACUUCAUUGAUGUCACCGUAAACGAUGAAAUGCUGUCACUCUUUUUUAUAUAUGACAAGAGGAUAUGCCGCUGCAUCCAGAUCUCAUUGUAGAAACUGUCACACUCACUGAAAUGGCAUCACAUAAGCUAUUUAUGACGAUAUGCGGGAAAAUACGAGGUUAAGAGAUCUUUAUCUGCCGUCUAUGGAAACGUGCUUCCACACUGAGGCGGGUACAGGAAAUAACCUUCAGGAUUAACCCACGACAUUGGGAGAACGGAAAAGAGAGAUUAACCAUCGGAGACACAGCUGCAUCCAGAUUACGUUUCGGGGCGUCCGGGUGGCUCAGUCGGUUGAGCGUCCGACUCGAUCUUAGCUCGGGUCUU